Molecule: long non-coding RNA, 989 nt
Filed under: Mus musculus (house mouse)
Lineage: Eukaryota; Metazoa; Chordata; Mammalia; Rodentia; Muridae
Description: long non-coding RNA chr4:102059774-102060763
Source: RNAcentral
GAUGAACAGCAGCAUGGAAGUGUAAGCCGAAUAAACCCUUUCCUCCCCAACUUGCUUCUUGGUCAUGAUGUUUGUGCAGGAAUAGAAACCCUGACUAAGACAAAUUGGUACCAGGAGUGGGGUAUUCCUGUGACAACCUGACCAUGUUUUGGGGAGGUCUGUGGAAGGACUUUGGAACUUUGGUCUUGAAGAUCCAUUUGUUGUUAAGAGCUCUGUGGGAUGUUGUGUAGGAGCUUGGAAGAUAAUGUUGAGAACAGUGCAGAAGAUGGAGGCCUGGCUUGUGAAAUUUCAGAGGGAAAAUUAAAGACUCUUUUCAGGGCCAUUUCUGUUUUGAUUGUGAAGAUUCUGUAGUUCUGGUUAGCUGGGGCUGAAGAAUCAGCUGUGAUUAACAAGAUACCAGAACUACUGAAGCAAAAGCUUUGCAUUACUGGGACUAUUGAUGCUGGUUAGCUGGAGCUAAGAAAUUAGCGGUGAUUAAGAAGAGACCAGCAUCAUUGAGGUGACAUCUUCUGGGAAGUGUUUUCUGAGAGCACAGUGGCUGUGUUCCAGAUAUAGCCAAAGUUGUACCUUGUGCUGUGGCUGGACUUGGUAAUGUGUAAGAGUCACCCAGGUGGUACUGGUUUUGAAGGCAUGAAGGAGUUGAGCAGAACAGCUGAGGCUUGGCACUGUGAGAGGCCAUGGAAGGCCAUUGGUGAAAGUCCAGCCUCAUUUGCAAUUGAUGGCCCAGGACUGAAGGGGUCAUGCAGUGUUUUGGAGAUGCCAGUACCAUGAGAUGACCACCAAGAACAGCAGCAGCAGUGGAGUACAGGCAUCUGGAGCCUAGAGGAUGACGCGUGUGCUACAAAGGGCCUGGCUGGAGAAGUGACCCAAGCCCUUGGAGGAGCCCAGAAGAUUGUGAGUUGGAUCCCAGACAUUGGACAGUUGGAGAUUGACUUUUGCUUUUGAUUGUGACUGUGCCCUGAUAUUUUCCCUCUUGAAGGAAGAAACUG